Molecule: unclassified non-coding RNA, 260 nt
Filed under: uncultured Eurotiales
Lineage: Eukaryota; Fungi; Ascomycota; Eurotiomycetes; Eurotiales
Description: sequence contains 5.8S rRNA gene, ITS2, 28S rRNA gene
Rfam family: 5.8S ribosomal RNA (bases 1-52)
Source: RNAcentral
AACGCACAUUGCGCCCCCUGGUAUUCCGGGGGGCAUGCCUGUCCGAGCGUCAUUGCUGCCCAUCAAGCACGGCUUGUGUGUUGGGUCGUCGUCCCCUCUCCGGGGGGACGGGCCCCAAAGGCAGCGGCGGCACCGCGUCCGAUCCUCGAGCGUAUGGGGCUUUGUCACCCGCUCUGUAGGCCCGGCCGGCGCUUGCCGAACGCAAAUCAAUCUUUUUCCAGGUUGACCUCGGAUCAGGUAGGGAUACCCGCUGAACUUAA